UCCGCUGUGCGACCAUGCGGUUUGUCGCAUGUUCGGUAUUGUCCUGAAAUUCUUCCGUAUCCGAAUUUUAUGGAUUCUCUGCUUUUGAAUAUCGUCGAGGCCAAACAUGGUUAAUUUCACAGAGCUGAAUAAAGAGAUUGUGCUCCUCCGAGGGGAUGUGAAGAGAGCUCGCCUCCUCCUGAUCCAGACUCUGUGUCGGAACAUCCGCAAACUCAGGGACAAGAAGGGAAAGCCUGACCAGCUGGCGAGAAACAAGCACCGCGCCGAGAAACUGCAUGAAGACAUCACUGUUCUCAAGGUAGG
Molecule: long non-coding RNA, 303 nt
Organism: Branchiostoma floridae (Florida lancelet)
Lineage: Eukaryota; Metazoa; Chordata; Leptocardii; Amphioxiformes; Branchiostomatidae
Exons: 3
Source: RefSeq, a predicted model, not a curated record